Molecule: ribosomal RNA, 252 nt
Filed under: uncultured bacterium
Lineage: Bacteria
Description: partial 16S ribosomal RNA
Rfam family: Bacterial small subunit ribosomal RNA
Source: RNAcentral
UACGGAGGGUGCAAGCGUUAUCCGGAUUUACUGGUUUAAAGGGUGCGCAGGCGGAUAUGUAAGUCAGUGGUGAAAUCUCUAGGCUUAACCUGGAAAUUGCCGUUGAUACUAUAUAUCUUGAAUGCUGUGGAGGUAAGCGGAAUAUGUCAUGUAGCGGUGAAAUGCUUAGAUAUGACAUAGAACACCUAUUGCGGAGGCAGCUUACUACGCAGAUAUUGACGCUCAUGCACGAAAGCGUGGGGAUCAAACAGG